UCAACCCUCAAGCCUGGCUUGGUGUUGGAUCAAACCCCCUUUACGGGCGGGUCGGUCCCAAAGAUAAUGGCGGGUCGACGUGAGACCUCGGUACAAUGAGCUCGUUAAACAGCACGUAUCGUCAGGGACCACUCGGCCUGGCCUAACCCCCCAAUUUUUACAA
RNAcentral lists this unclassified non-coding RNA (163 nucleotides) under uncultured Eurotiomycetes. RNAcentral describes it as "sequence contains ITS2". The record is from RNAcentral. Lineage: Eukaryota; Fungi; Ascomycota; Eurotiomycetes.